AUUGAACGCUGGCGGCAUGCCUUACACAUGCAAGUCGAACGGCAGCACGGGAGCAAUCCUGGUGGCGAGUGGCGAACGGGUGAGUAAUAUAUCGGAACGUGCCCAGUCGUGGGGAUAACGUAGCGAAAGCUACGCUAAUACCGCAUACGAUCUAUGGAUGAAAGCGGGGGAUCGCAAGACCUCGCGCGAUUGGAGCGGCCGAUAUCAGAUUAGGUAGUUGGUGAGGUAAAGGCUCACCAAGCCGACGAUCUGUAGCUGGUCUGAGAGGACGACCAGCCACACUGGGACUGAGACACGGCCCAGACUCCUACGGGAGGCAGCAGUGGGGAAUUUUGGACAAUGGGCGAAAGCCUGAUCCAGCAAUGCCGCGUGAGUGAAGAAGGCCUCGGUUGGU
RNAcentral lists this ribosomal RNA (394 nucleotides) under uncultured bacterium. Its description in RNAcentral is "bacterial SSU rRNA". It matches the Rfam family "Bacterial small subunit ribosomal RNA", at positions 30 to 427 of the family's 1533-position model. The record is from RNAcentral.